CAGGUUGUGUUUAUCUUCCACAUAGACUGUGUCUGUGGCCCUGCCUUCGUGAACCAUCUUUGUCACCAUGCAAUACUGUACACAAGAGUCCAGCCAAGGCCUAGCUAAAGUGUUUUAGUCUGAAGAAGGGUCUCGACCCGAAA
Amblyraja radiata (thorny skate) is the source of this 143-nucleotide long non-coding RNA. RefSeq lists it as uncharacterized. The record is from RefSeq and is a predicted model, not a curated record. Lineage: Eukaryota; Metazoa; Chordata; Chondrichthyes; Rajiformes; Rajidae. The transcript has 3 exons.